CGGCUUUGCAAGUCUCUCGGGAAAUCCGGCGGCUUAACCGCCGGGCGUCCGGGGGGUACUACAUUGCUUGGGACUGGGAGAGGUAGGAGGUACUCGGGGGGUAGGAGUGAAAUCCUGUAAUCCCCUGGGGACCACCGGUGGCGAAGGCGUCCUACCAGAACAGGUCCGACGGUGAGGGACGAAAGCUAGGGGCACGAACCGGAUUAGAUACCCGGGUAGUCCUAGCCGUAAACGAUGCUCGCUAGGUGUCACGGCAAUCGUGAAUUGCCGUGGUGCCGUAGGGAAGCCGUGAAGCGAGCCACUUGGGAAGUACGACCGCAAGGUUGAAACUUAAAGGAAUUGGCGGGGAGCACCACAACGGGUGGAGCCUGCGGUUUAAUUGGACUCAACGCCGGGAAGCUUAUCGGGAUCGACAGUUGGAUGAAGGCCAGGCCGAAGACCUUGCCGGACUAUCUGAGAGGAGGUGCAUGGCCGCCGUCAGUUCGUACCGUGAGGCGUCCUGUUAAGUCAGGCAACGAGCGAGACCCAUAUCCACUGUUGCUAACGCUUCUGCAAAGAAGGCGAGUACACGGUGGAGACCGCUGGCGCUAAGUCAGAGGAAGGGGUGGUCGACGGUAGGUCCG
Molecule: ribosomal RNA, 623 nt
Filed under: uncultured archaeon
Lineage: Archaea
Description: bacterial SSU rRNA
Rfam family: Archaeal small subunit ribosomal RNA
Source: RNAcentral